GAUUAAGCCAUGCAUGUGUAAGUGUAAAUUGUUAAGUUUGGAACUGCGAAUGGCUCAUUAUAUCAGUUAUAGUUUAUUUGGUGAAGUGUACUACUUGGAUAACCGUAGUAAUUCUAGGGCUAAUACAUGAGAAAGUCCCCUGGUGAGGUGUGUUUAUUAGAAUGAAAACCAUAUGCUUCGGCAUGAUAGUGAGUAAUAGUAACCUAUCGUAUCGCAUGCUUAAUGUAGCGAUGAGUCUUUCAAGUUUCUGCCCUAUCAGCUUUCGAUGGUAGUAUAUGGGCCUACCAUG
This 289-nucleotide ribosomal RNA is filed under the name Blastocystis sp. Its description in RNAcentral is "partial small subunit ribosomal RNA". It matches the Rfam family "Eukaryotic small subunit ribosomal RNA", at positions 42 to 348 of the family's 1831-position model. The record is from RNAcentral. Lineage: Eukaryota; Bigyra; Opalinata; Blastocystidae.